UGGUAAUAUAACAGGUUUGUGUGCACAUACAGAUCCACAUGAGCAAACACUCACAUUCCACUCACUACAAGAAAUACAGAAGAUACUAAUAUUUUUAAUAUCUGCAUUGUUUCAUUCUAAUUCUGUCAUUAUCUCAUUAACUCAUCUGUCUCUCUGUAAAUUCUUAAUAGAAAACAUUUUUCUGAAUUUUCCAUUUAGCCUGGAGUGCACAUAUCUGAAAGAACAGCUUUCCCAAUAAUGAUAUUAAGAAAUGCCUCUGGCAUUGCAAUAAAUUCCAAAGUUUGUGAAAAUCUGAAGGAUAUGCUGUGACAAGCAUACAGUGAAGUUCUAGCUGAUACUGUAACUAUCCGGGUUCCCAGCAAAGAAGAAAAUAAAUCCCAUAAUACUGCAUAUUUGAAAGUUUUCUAAUUUUAUUGUUGUUUAAAGUAUAAAUACUUCACAUGAAUCCUAAUCCACUGUAGCAGGCAAGCUCAUGCUCACUUUAAGCAGGUUAGCAUUCCAGUUCAGCUCAAGGGGAUGAGCAUGCUACUCCAGUGAUUUGUUUGAUCAUUGUCUAAAUUAAAAAUUCACAACGGCACAAAGAGAAGUUGUUAUAUUUCCACAUUGUUUGCAAUAGUCAGCCUAUCCCUCAAGGGUAUCCUUCUUACAUGUGUGGGCAUAUGAAGAAACCACUUGCCAAGUGUUUUACUAUUGCAGGAUGAAGACAUUUAAACCAAACCUUUCAAGCAGUCGAUGGAACACAAUCUGAAAGAUUAAAGAAAAUCCAGAUGGGGUGCAGAUGCUGCAAAAUGAUACAAAGCUACAUUUUUGAUCCAGAAGAAGUACAAUCACCUGGAUGCGUUCAUGAAGUAAGCAGCUAUAAACACAAUGAGCAAGGCAGCAAUAAAUCCAAAGAGAACAGUGAAAUUCAAGAACAUAAAAAUGAACUCCAGAAGGAUGAGCUGAAUGGAACAGAAAAUAAAAGUCAGAUAAAUAGCAGAAAAGAAACUCUCUGGAACCAUGGAGGCAAUGAUUUUCAAGAGGAAGGCCUUUUGAAGUGUGUUGCAAAGCUUGAUGUUGCAGUCAAUGGUGGCACCUCCUGUGCUGGAGUGCACCCUGUGCUCAACCCCAACACAAACCCAGUGAAAGAGGCCAGUGAACAGGAAACCUCUAGCCAGUCAGAGGCUUCUUCAGCCAGUAGAGACUUUUACACCGGAUCAAAUAGGUCUGGACAAGAACUUGACCUAGAGGUGGGCUGGCAGAGGAAGGCAACAUGCAAUGAGCCAAACAGUAUUCAAGAUGAGAACUCCCAGUCUGCAGAGGACAUCAUCUUUCUUAAAGGAAGUGCAAUACUGGAGACACAAAACAAUGCCAUACAACUGCCAGAUAUUAAUUACCCCCAAACCAGGAACUAUGUUGAAAAAGACAGCUUUUUAGUCAAUUAUGCACACUCAGACCAAAACACUGGGCCUUCAGCAGUGCAGGACCAGGACCUUUGUGUGACCCCACCUCCACCUAUGAAGGAGAGCAGUAUUGGACCUUUUAAAACUGACUCCAGAAGUUUGAGUGCGGGCAUUAUGGGUGGUAUCACUGCCGUGGCUGUUACCAGAGUAGCACAGGAACCCACACACCCCAACCAUAAAGACAUCAAUGGAGAAAUGGAGGAGGAAGAUGCAGAAGUUGCAGCAGCUCUGGCUGCACUGGAAGCUGCAACUGCAGGGGAAGACCUGCAUGAUGACGACGAGUACUAGAUGAAGGUUUAUUUCUCAUACACUGGGUAAGAUCCAGAUUUUAUUUCUGGAUCUAUGUAUUACAUGUUUAGCACAUGUGGACAGUUGUUAUGAACAGGACAUAUAAAAGGAGUUUGGACUAAACCUCUGUCCCUUCAGCUGUUUUGUACAGCUUUUAAUUUGUACUGCCUGCGGUACAGAAGCACUCCCUUGGCUAAUGGCAGUACUAACACUUUUAUAUGGUACCAGCUGGGGGGCAGAGUGGCAUUUCUUUCGCACAGGAUAUUCUGCUGUAUACCCACCUCACCUGGACUCAUGCAAAACCCUUUGGUUUUGACCUUCAGGAGGGUCUGUGCAUACUGCAUGUUCCAGGUUCAGAAGAAUUCCAUUAUUUAAAACAGAAUUAUAGAAGACAUGGAGUUAGAAACCACAGAUUUUCAUCUUGUUAGCGC
Molecule: RNA transcript, 2161 nt
Organism: Pezoporus flaviventris
Lineage: Eukaryota; Metazoa; Chordata; Aves; Psittaciformes; Psittacidae
Gene: PGCKA1
Gene name: chromosome unknown C4orf19 homolog
Exons: 4
Source: RefSeq, a predicted model, not a curated record